This is a long non-coding RNA of Wyeomyia smithii (pitcher-plant mosquito), 2932 nucleotides long. RefSeq lists it as uncharacterized. The record is from RefSeq and is a predicted model, not a curated record. The transcript is spliced from 3 exons. Lineage: Eukaryota; Metazoa; Arthropoda; Insecta; Diptera; Culicidae.
CGACGUGCAUUCAGUCAGCAAAGCAAAGCGGCGCGCAUGUUUUUUUUCUCGUUAUUUUGUUUCUUCCAAUGGCCGCAGCCGCGCUUUGGUACGAGUGAGUGAGAGCCGAACCCGCUGCGAGAGUCGCCAGCAGUCAGAGUUAGUCAGCAGUCAGACUCUAGCCCGUCUGUGGAAGGAACGUUCUUCAUCAGCGAGAAGAGCUGGAUCAGGUUAACUGUAUCGGUUGGUCAGUCUUGGAGCCGAAAUUAAUGGCCAUCGCUUUUCAGAGCAAAUCAGAUUGGAGAUCAGUGCACUAGUUAGUGCUGGAAGGUGGUUAAAAGUUGUUGAUUUCGAACCGUGGGGUGAAAAGUGAUCAUCGGUCGGUAGAAUCCAGGUUUUGGUGGGUCGGAAAACUUUGCCAGUUUCGCACUAUCAUUGCGCGAGGAGCGAACAAGCAACGGUGUGCGAGUGAGUGAAAGGGAAGAAAGCAGAAGCAACUGGGAGUAACCAGCCAGUAGGUUUUUGAUCAGACGAAAGUAAAAGUGUUUUUAGUUGUGUUAUUUUUUUCGGUGAUCGCUAUUGCGUUUCGGAAGGGAACUGUUCUGUGAAAACUGAGUUUCCAGCAAACUACAAGUUGAUGUGCGUCAAGUGAAAACACAAACCCAGCGAUAAGUUUUGCAAUUCAAAUAAAUAGGUACUUGAACUGCAGCUGGUGCGCAGAUAACGGAGACUGAGGAGCUCAAAAUCCGACGAAAACUAUAUAUCCUGGACCAAACUGAAUCUCUAAUACCAUUAGCUGUUAAUACGAAAAGUGACGUAUUCCAAAUUAUACAAACACUACCUACAGUUAACGAUGAUUGACGGAAAAAGAUACAGUGCGCUUUGCAAGACUUUCUCAUGCAGGUGCUAUCUAUGUGAAGCGAAUCCAAUUGAAAUGGAUAACACGGAGAAGAGCUUGUAAAAACCUGUGAACGACAAAGGCUUCGAGUUUGGUUUAUCACCACUUUAUUCGUGGAUCAGAUUCUUCGAGUAUCUACUCCAUAUAUCGUAUCGUAUAGAUAUUCAAAAAUAGCCAGCACGGUCAAUGAAGAGGGCAACCAGAAAAAUGGCCAUUCAGUCAGGAAUGGUUAGAGUCAAUUGUUUAUAAACCUUAAUGUAGUAGCAGCGGUACAUCGAAUGAUGGAAAUUCUACCAGAUUGUUUUUAAAAUUUUUCAAAGAUUACAGGCCUUAAGCAGAACUAUUCUGCAAAGCUUAUCAUAAGUAUGUGAAAUAAAUACGUUUAAAGAAUACGCAAUAACUACUGCUCGAAUGUUGGUAGACCGUCUUCGGUAUUCAAAGUGCUCCCACGCGGUGAUUUAGUUAUCGAUUAAAGCACUGGUUUCAAUUGGUGAACUUUUAGAAGUAGCAGUAAAAUCAAAGAACAAAAAUAUUAAAAACUUCCGCUUGGAUCACAUUCGUAGAAUAUCGCGAAUUACCACCAACGCAGACCUACCUCAAAGAAAAUUGCUGUAUACAGAUCCCUUCAUUUCAAGCUUGAGACAAUCAUCGACAUCUAACAAAAAAACAAGCUCAAAAGAAAAAAUGUUAAGGUUGGUCUUUGUUUAAUGUUAAGUUGGAUUCAUUUCUGAACAACAGAUAUUGUUACCUCCAUUCAACAUUUAUAUUAGGAGCAGUACGGUAACCAAUUUCAAUGAUUCCAGAAUGGAGACGCAUCCAAUUUCAACCUUUUUAUUUUAUUUCAAUAUUAUAAAAAUGGGCUGAAAAUUUCUAAAAGAUGGUCUUAAGCUACUCUAUACUUACGUAAAAUAAUCUUGAAAUGACCCCAACAUUGACCGAAAAUGAUGUAAAUGUAAUAAAAAUUUCUAAACAUUAAAAAACAUUUAUUUUAUGAUCGGUCCACCCCUCGCCCCGUGAGACCCUUCUCUUUUUUCAAAAAAGUGCAAUUUGUCUUAAAAAAGUCUUGUUUCCUUUCAAUUAUAGCUUUAAAAGCAUGAUGUCUAGGAGUAAAUUGAUACAUGGAUUUUGAAGAAAAAUGUGUUGACGGUUCCAAAACAAUAUCAAUUUUAAGCGACAGUGUUGCCAGAUAUCUUGUAAAUGCACUUUAAAAAUAAAAUUGCAUUUCUCGCUAAAUGAGUGUAUUUUGAUUUCAAAUUACACAAUUUAAUCGUAUUCCUGAGAAAAUUUCACAUAAAAACCACUUAUCACUCCGAGGUUUAUGAGCAAAAUUUGAGUUAUAGCAUUUCUUGUUAUUAUUCUGCUAAUAUCUCUAAAACUGGCUUGAUUAUGGAGUUCUGAGUAAUGAAAUUUGAAGAAAAUUAUUCAAAAAUACAAAAAAAAAAACAACAAUUUUGACCGGCAGUGUUGCCAGAUAUGUUUUUUACAGUUUAAAUUUUAAAAUGCAUUUUUCGGCCAAUAAGAAUAUUUUGAUCUCGAAUUCGCUAAUUGCAUCGUGUUGUUAAGAAAAUUUUAUUCGAGAAACACCUAUUACGUAGGGUAUUAUGCAAAAACUCGAGUUACAGCAAUCUUAAGAAACUUUCAGAUUUUUAAUUUGAAUUCUUAUAUUUGAAGUUCACAUAAAAACAAGUAAAACAUUUUCAUUUGUUGGCGCUACGAGACUGGUGUGAUGGCUUUUGAGUAUUAGUUUGCUAUAAACCGUAUAUCUCCAAGACAAAAAGACUUAAAAGUAAAGUGUCUUCGACAAAGUUUUUGUGCUAACGACUUUGCUGAAGACAUCACUUCUCUAAAGUAGUAGUACGAGUAGAGGCUCGAAAACAUGAUUUUACUGCAUGACAACGCUCGGCUUUAAAAAGUCAUCAAAACUUAUAUAGAAACGCUCAAAUGGGAAGGCCUACUUCAUCCAACCGCGUCCUAAAAUCUCAUCAAAAAUUCAUUGGUGAGUCAUUACAAACAUCCACAGCCAGAUUUACGUGGAGGUCAUGGUCCCCGGGCUCC